AGUAACGAUAAAAUGAGUGAAAAUCUCAUUCGCCGAAAACCUAAGGUUUCCUGGGGAAGGCAAAUCCGCCCAGGGUUAGUCGGCACCUAAGGCGAGGCCGAAAGGCGUAGUCGAUGGGAAUGCAGUUAAUAUUCUGCAGCCUGGUGGUAGUGACGGAUCUCGUAAAUUGUACAUCCUUAUUGGAUUGGUUGUGCAGUGAAGAGGUUCCAGGAAAUAGCUCCACCAUAUAGACCGUACCCCAAACCGACACAGGUGGUCAGGUAGAGAAUACUAAGGCGCUUGAGAGAACUCGGGUGAAGGAACUCGG
RNAcentral lists this ribosomal RNA (307 nucleotides) under Vaucheria litorea. RNAcentral's name for it is "partial Bacterial large subunit ribosomal RNA". It matches the Rfam family "Bacterial large subunit ribosomal RNA", at positions 1305 to 1717 of the family's 2925-position model. The record is from RNAcentral. Lineage: Eukaryota; Xanthophyceae; Vaucheriales; Vaucheriaceae.